CUAACGCUCCGCUCGUUUAAAUGCGCGUGCUCGAGGAUUGAACUGACGGCAAAGGCUAGCUCGUUGACUUCCGCCGAUAAACUUCCUCUUUCAUCGUAUCAAUUCGUGCAGUGUAGACGUGAAUCCGUCUUUGCUGCUGUGAAAAAUGAGAGCUAAGUGGCGUAAGAAGCGUAUGCGGAGGUUGAAGCGUAAGCGCAGGAAGAUGCGUGCGAGAUCCAAGUAAACCCCCGGCCGGUAUUCCUCUACCGAUUAAGCUGUGCGGAGGACCUCUCGAUCACCGGGAAAGUCGAACCCAGUGGUGGCAACAUUCCGGACACCGUUGAAGCAAGCGUCAUUUUUUGCCGUCUUCCUGCGGCGGUGUGUUUGCUUUUAUCAGUUCACGUUUGGAGCGAUCCGAAUAAAAACCGUGACGAGCGGACAAUGUGCUUCCGGGGACGAUGGAUCCGGUCGAACACUGAAUAACUCUAAA
This is a long non-coding RNA of Anopheles stephensi (Asian malaria mosquito), 469 nucleotides long. RefSeq lists it as uncharacterized. The transcript is spliced from 3 exons. The record is from RefSeq and is a predicted model, not a curated record. NCBI's taxonomy places the organism in Eukaryota, Metazoa, Arthropoda, Insecta, Diptera, Culicidae.